RNAcentral lists this ribosomal RNA (409 nucleotides) under bacterium. RNAcentral's name for it is "partial 16S ribosomal RNA". It matches the Rfam family "Bacterial small subunit ribosomal RNA", at positions 355 to 776 of the family's 1533-position model. The record is from RNAcentral.
UGGGGAAUAUUGCACAAUGGGCGAAAGCCUGAUGCAGCGACGCCGCGUGAGGGAUGACGGCCUUCGGGUUGUAAACCUCUUUCAGUAGGGACGAAGCGCAAGUGACGGUACCUGCAGAAGAAGCACCGGCUAACUACGUGCCAGCAGCCGCGGUAAUACGUAGGGUGCGAGCGUUGUCCGGAAUUACUGGGCGUAAAGAGCUCGUAGGCGGUUUGUCACGUCGUCUGUGAAAUCCUAGGGCUUAACCCUGGACGUGCAGGCGAUGCGGGCUGACUUGAGUACUACAGGGGAGACUGGAAUUUCUGGUGUAGCGGUGGAAUGCACAGAUAUCAGGAAGAACACCGAUGGCGAAGGCAGGUCUCUGGGUAGUAACUGACGCUGAGGAGCGAAAGCAUGGGUAGCGAACAGG